RNAcentral lists this ribosomal RNA (908 nucleotides) under Scolecitrichopsis sp. LBB-2010. RNAcentral describes it as "SSU rRNA". It matches the Rfam family "Eukaryotic small subunit ribosomal RNA", at positions 81 to 989 of the family's 1831-position model. Lineage: Eukaryota; Metazoa; Arthropoda; Copepoda; Calanoida; Scolecitrichidae. The record is from RNAcentral.
GUGAAACCGCGAAUGGCUCAUUAAAUCACACCUAAUCUACUGGAUAGUUAACAGUUACUUGGAUAACUGCGGUAAUUCUGGAGCUAAUACAUGCACAAAGCCCCGAACUUACGUGAGGGGCGCUUUUAUUAGAUCAAAACCAAACGGCUUCGGCUGUUCUCUUGGUGACUCUGAAUAACUUUGGGCUGAUCGCAUAGCCUAGCGCUGGCGACAUAUCCUUCGAAGGUGUGCCCUAUCAACUGUCGACUGUGGCAUAGACGCCCACAGUGGUUUUGACGGGUAACGGGGAAUCAGGGUUCGAUUCCGGAGAGGGAGCCUUAAAAACGGCUACCACAUCUAAGGAAGGCAGCAGGCACGCAAAUUACCCAAUGACCGAAGGUCGAGGUAGUGACGAAAAAUAACAAUACGGGACUCAUCUGAGGCCCCGUAAUUGGAAUGAGUACACUUUAAAACCGUCCCCGAGGAUCUAUUGGAGGGCAAGUCUGGUGCCAGCAGCCGCGGUAAUUCCAGCUCCAAUAGCGUAUAUUAAAGUUGUUGUGGUUAAAAAGCUCGUAGUUGGAUCUCGGCGGUCUGAGGGCGGUUCACUUGCUAGUGCUACUGCCCUAUAGACCGUAGUUUUGCCAGAGGUCGCAGGGUGCUCUUAAUCGAGUGUCCUGUGAAGCUGGCAGGUUUACUUUGAAAAAAUUAGAGUGCUCAAAGCAGGCUUUUACGCCUGAAUAUUCGUGCAUGGAAUAAUAGAAUAGGAAGUCGUUUCUAUUUUGUUGGUUUUCGGAAAUCGACUUAAUGAUUAAUAGGGACAGUCGGGGGCAUUUGUAUUCAAACGACAGAGGUGAAAUUCUUGGACCGUUUGAAGACAAACUACUGCGAAAGCAUUUGCCAAGAAUGUUUUCAUUAAUCAAGAACGAAAG